Non-coding RNA from Xylaria palmicola, 113 nucleotides. The record is from the annotation of a GenBank genome assembly. NCBI's taxonomy places the organism in Eukaryota, Fungi, Ascomycota, Sordariomycetes, Xylariales, Xylariaceae.
GGUCUGGUGGUCUAGUGGUAUGAUUCUCGCUUAGGGUACACCCUUAGCUAAGAUGUACCAAUUGGUAUACUUGAAAUUGCGAGAGGUCCCGGGUUCAAUCCCCGGCCAGACCC